GGGCGCUUAGCUCAGGGGUAGAGCGCUCGCUUCGCACCCCCAGUUUGACUGCGAGAGGUCGUGGGUUCAAUUCCCACAGUGUCCA
This is a non-coding RNA of Paramarasmius palmivorus, 85 nucleotides long. Lineage: Eukaryota; Fungi; Basidiomycota; Agaricomycetes; Agaricales; Marasmiaceae. The record is from the annotation of a GenBank genome assembly.